UGCUGACCUGCCAGCUAAUGAGUUUAUUACUGCAGGCUUGAUGGCAUUGAGAGUGAUGGGAUUCACCAUUGUUGCAAGUAUCAAGAUGAGAGGAAACUCUAUUUCUUCCCAAAUGGAUCAAGUGAGAAGUGGGUGUCGUCUUUCAUUUGGAUGCAGGAGAGGAAGAAUUGCACAGAUGAAAAUAGUCUCGUAGGGGAAAUGCAAGACAAGGAGCUCCAAGGCCCCAUCCAAAAACAUGGAUGAAAGGGGAUGGCUUUUAAGACUCUUGUGUUUAGAAUUAUCACCGGAAAGAAUUCUAAAGAAAAAGAAUGGAAGAAUCCAUUGAACAAAGAUGGGUUGGAAUCCCCCAAGUGGUUGUUUGAGCUUCCCAGUGUGGACCAUGGGCCACCACCUACUUUCAACAAUACAACUUUCUGUGUCCUUAGCACUUUCAGCAAGUGGCAGACAGAAGGCCAGCAAACAUAUUUUUUAAUUUCUUUCUUUCAUUCAUAUACUACUCCAUUAGGGCAUGCACCAUUCUGGGUCGUUUACAAGUUAAAACUUAAAAAUCCCACCGACCCCACCUCAUCAUAAUACAGUACAUACAACAAUACAGCAAUUAAAAAUAUACAAAACAGAAAAGAGAGAACAAGAAAAAUAAAAUAUUAAUAUUUAACA
RNAcentral lists this long non-coding RNA (657 nucleotides) under Pogona vitticeps (central bearded dragon). RNAcentral describes it as "lncRNA (ENSPVIG00000014233.1)". The record is from RNAcentral. Lineage: Eukaryota; Metazoa; Chordata; Lepidosauria; Squamata; Agamidae.